CUGCCUUGGCAGGAACUAAUGGGGAUCCAUAAUAAACCCCAGGAAGAGUAGCUGCUGCCUUGGCAGGAACUAAUGGGGAUCCAUAAUAAACCCCAGGAAGAGUAGCUGCUGUCUUGACAGGAACUAAUGGGGAUCCAUAAUGUGUGUGUAUUGAUAAUGUGUGUGUAUUGAUAAUGUGUGUGUAUUGAUAAUGUGUGUGUAUUGAUAAUGUGUGUGUGUAUUGAUAAUGUGUGUGUGUAUUGAUAAUGUGUGUGUGUGUAUUGAUAAUGUGUGUGUGUAUUGAUAAUGUGUGUGUGUAUUGAUAAUGUGUGUGUGUAUUGAUAAUGUGUGUGUGUAUUGAUAAUGUGUGUGUGUAUUGAUAAUGUGUGUGUGUAUUGAUAAUGUGUGUGUGUAUUGAUAAUGUGUGUGUGUAUUGAUAAUGUGUGUGUGUAUUGAUAAUGUGUGUGUAUUGAUAAUGUGUGUGUUAGGUGAGCCCCGUCCCAUGCCACCGUCGAGGCCCUUUCUCCUGUAAGCGCGUCUGUGGUCGAACCCUGACCUGUGGUAACCACAGCUGCAGCAAGGACUGUCACCGUGUCACCGCGACAACCAACAAACUACAGGCGGGUCCAGAGUGUGUGGUGUGUGAGGAGGGGUGUGUUAACCCUCGCCCCCCUGGCUGUCCCCACCCGUGCCCGUUGCCAUGCCACCCGGGGUCGUGCCCCCCCUGCCAACAGAUGACCCGACAACGCUGUCACUGCAAGAUCUCCCUGCUCUACAUAGACUGCCUGACGUUCAGAAGUGCUGAAGAUGAGGCUAAAGUUGAUCUGGGGUCCUGUAAGAACCAAUGUCCUAAACAGGUAUGCUCUCUGUGUGGGUCUCUCUAAAGUCCCCUCUCUGCGUGGGUCUCUGUUAAAGUCCUCUCUCUGUGUGGGUCUCUCUAAAGUCCUCUCUCUGUGUGGGUCUCUCUAAAGUCCUCUCUCUGUGUGGGUCUCUGUUAAAGUCCUCUCUCUGUGUGGGUCUCUCUAAAGUCCCCUCUCUGUGUGGGUCUCUCUAAAGUCCCCUCUCUGUGUGGGUCUCUCUAAAGUCCCCUCUCUGUGUGGGUCUCUCUAAAGUCCUCUCUGUGUGGGUCUCUCUAAAGUCCUCUCUCUGCGUGGGUCUCUCUAAAGUCCUCUCUCUGUGUGGGUCUCUCUUAAGUCCUCUCUCUGUGGGUCUCUCUAAAGUCCUCUCUCUGUGUGGGUCUCUCUAAAGUCCUCUCUCUGUGUGGGUCUCUCUAAAGCCCUCUCUGUGUGUGUGUUGUGUAUUUCUGUGUGGGUAGUGUGACUGUUAACCCCAGUAUUUCUGGGUGGGUGGUGUGACUGUUAACCCCAGUAUUUCUGGGUGGGUAGUGUGACUGUUAACCCCAGUAUUUCUGGGUGGGUAGUGUGACUGUUAACCCAGCA
Salvelinus fontinalis (brook trout) is the source of this 1418-nucleotide long non-coding RNA. RefSeq lists it as uncharacterized. NCBI's taxonomy places the organism in Eukaryota, Metazoa, Chordata, Actinopteri, Salmoniformes, Salmonidae. The transcript is spliced from 3 exons. The record is from RefSeq and is a predicted model, not a curated record.